RNAcentral lists this ribosomal RNA (538 nucleotides) under uncultured Lactobacillales bacterium. RNAcentral's name for it is "bacterial SSU rRNA". It matches the Rfam family "Bacterial small subunit ribosomal RNA", at positions 386 to 916 of the family's 1533-position model. Lineage: Bacteria; Bacillati; Bacillota; Bacilli; Lactobacillales. The record is from RNAcentral.
ACGGAGCACGCCGCGUGAGUGAAGAAGGUUUUCGGAUCGUAAAACUCUGUUGUUAAAGAAGAACAAGGAUGAGAGUAACUGCUCAUCCCCUGACGGUAUUUAACCAGAAAGCCACGGCUAACUACGUGCCAGCAGCCGCGGUAAUACGUAGGUGGCAAGCGUUGUCCGGAUUUAUUGGGCGUAAAGCGAGCGCAGGCGGUUCUUUAAGUCUGAUGUGAAAGCCCCCGGCUCAACCGGGGAGGGUCAUUGGAAACUGGAGAACUUGAGUGCAGAAGAGGAGAGUGGAAUUCCACGUGUAGCGGUGAAAUGCGUAGAUAUGUGGAGGAACACCAGUGGCGAAGGCGACUCUCUGGUCUGUAACUGACGCUGAGGCUCGAAAGCGUGGGGAGCAAACAGGAUUAGAUACCCUGGUAGUCCACGCCGUAAACGAUGAGUGCUAAGUGUUGGAGGGUUUCCGCCCUUCAGUGCUGCAGCUAACGCAUUAAGCACUCCGCCUGGGGAGUACGGCCGCAAGGCUGAAACUCAAAGGAAUUGACGG